Molecule: unclassified non-coding RNA, 279 nt
Filed under: plant metagenome
Description: partial contains small subunit ribosomal RNA, internal transcribed spacer 1, and 5.8S ribosomal RNA
Source: RNAcentral
UUUCCGUUGGUGAACCAGCGGAGGGAUCAUUACAGAGUUCCACAACUCCCAACCCCUGCUAACCGUACCCCAGUUUGUUCUCGUUUCCUCCUGGCGGCGGUCCCCCGGCGCCACCCCCGCGGCCCCCGCCAGCGGCGGCGACGGCCCGGACCCUUUUGUUCUCACCCAGCCCGUCUGAGCGUACAAACAGAGUAAUCAAAACUUGCAACAACGGAUCUCUUCGGUCUGGCAUCGUUGAAGAACGCAGCAGAACGGAAGAGCACACGACUGCACUCCACU